RNAcentral lists this ribosomal RNA (450 nucleotides) under uncultured bacterium. RNAcentral describes it as "partial 16S ribosomal RNA". It matches the Rfam family "Bacterial small subunit ribosomal RNA", at positions 29 to 523 of the family's 1533-position model. The record is from RNAcentral.
AGCGAACGCUGCGGCAUGCUUAACACAUGCAAGUCGCACGAAGGUUUCGGCCUUAGUGGCGGACGGGUGAGUAACGCGUAGGAAUCUAUCCAUGGGUGGGGGAUAACACUGGGAAACUGGUGCUAAUACCGCAUGAUACCUGAGGGUCAAAGGCGCAAGUCGCCUGUGGAGGAGCCUGCGUUCGAUUAGCUAGUUGGUGGGGUAAAGGCCUACCAAGGCGAUGAUCGAUAGCUGGUUUGAGAGGAUGAUCAGCCACACUGGGACUGAGACACGGCCCAGACUCCUACGGGAGGCAGCAGUGGGGAAUAUUGGACAAUGGGGGCAACCCUGAUCCAGCAAUGCCGCGUGUGUGAAGAAGGUCUUCGGAUUGUAAAGCACUUUCGACGGGGACGAUGAUGACGGUACCCGUAGAAGAGGCCCCGGCUAACUUCGUGCCAGCCGCCGCAGUAA